This 65-nucleotide microRNA precursor is filed under the name Branchiostoma lanceolatum (amphioxus). RNAcentral's name for it is "Bla-Mir-4869_pre stem-loop". Lineage: Eukaryota; Metazoa; Chordata; Leptocardii; Amphioxiformes; Branchiostomatidae. The record is from RNAcentral.
ACGAUGUUGACUUCCGCUCCUCUGUGCUCAUGUUGUAACUAGAGGGACCUGUAGUCAACACGAGA